Molecule: long non-coding RNA, 1208 nt
Organism: Ictalurus punctatus (channel catfish)
Lineage: Eukaryota; Metazoa; Chordata; Actinopteri; Siluriformes; Ictaluridae
Source: Ensembl
CUAAAUGUUAUUUAAAUUACUUUAUUUCUGGUAGAAGCUCAGAAGACAAUAAGUUACAGAAUUGGGAUUAAUAAGAUGAUUGAACUUCUGGCUAUGACAGGUCAUUUGCAAUUGCUUUUCAUGAUACAUGCUUAAAGGAAUAGCAUUAUAAAACAUAAAUUGAUCAUCAUCUUACACACAUAUUUGUAUUUCUGAGUUAAAGAGUGAGUAUAAAUUGAGAUGUUGAAUAAUUUAAUCAGUUUCUGUUGUCAGGGACCUAAAAAACGUCAAUCAGGGAAAUAUUAUUUCUCAAAAUCUGUUGCUACAUACUGUAUUUCUUAUGAAGAGUACAAAAUUUUUCACAUAGAGUGUAUUUAAAACUUGGAAUGUUCUUUCUGGAAAAAGCAAUUAUACGAAAUGUAAAUGAACAUGUGCCGUGUGAAUAGACUACAUGUAUUAAUGUUUACUGCUUGAUGAUUUAGUCUUGCACUUAAGGGGUAUUACUGCUGGGGUUAAUAUCUAAUGAAUUAUUCUACAUAUUAUAGCUAAGCUUUCAACUUUAUCAUGUCAAAUAAAACUAUUUUAGUGUACUUUCUCUUAAAAUUUUUUGCAUUUAUAAAAAAAAAAAAAAGUAAUGCAUUUUUCAGAAAUUCUUUCAUGCAUGUAGAAACUUUUUUUUUUAAAUCUGCAUUAACACUGCCACCUUUAAACCUUAACAAUGUGAGGAUACUGACAGCAACUGCUGUAUCCAAAAACAUUACAAUUAUUGCAGUCAACAGCUAAAUACAAAACUGCUAACCAACAGUGUGAGGCAGUAUACUUGAUAAGAUAUUAAACAAACAAACAAACAAACAAAUAUAUAAAUGGACACAUUUUUUAAAAAAAAUUUAACAAGAUGGUCUGCCAAAAAGACUACUAACUACAAGGAUGUCAUUUUCUUUCCUUCUUUCCACAAUUUAUGCUGAAUCACCUCUUGGUGUGUUACUGUAUAUUUUUUUUAUUGUGCAAGAUAAUGAUAAAGUUGAAAGGUAUUGAUUUAAAAAUAAAAGAAGGAAAAAAGUAAUUUUUGAUGCAGGGUAUGUGUAUGUAUUGGCAGUGUAUAGUGUGAGAUGGAAUAUUUCUUUGAUUGCAUGUCACAGUACACAUCUCUGAAACCAAAUCACUGUACAAUUGUCAUUAACAAAAUGUAAAAUUGAACUUAGUCUUUUUGGAAAAAUCAUACACAAAUA